RNAcentral lists this ribosomal RNA (253 nucleotides) under uncultured bacterium. Its description in RNAcentral is "partial 16S ribosomal RNA". It matches the Rfam family "Bacterial small subunit ribosomal RNA", at positions 524 to 776 of the family's 1533-position model. The record is from RNAcentral.
UACGGAGGGUGCAAACGUUGCUCGGAAUCAUUGGGCGUAAAGCGCACGUAGGCGGCUCGUUAAGUUGGAUGUGAAAGCCCGGGGCUCAACUCCGGAACUGCCUUUAAGACUGCAUCGCUUGAAUCCGGGAGAGGUGAGUGGAAUUCCGAGUGUAGAGGUGAAAUUCGUAGAUAUUCGGAAGAACACCAGUGGCGAAGGCGGCUCACUGGACCGGUAUUGACGCUGAGGUGCGAAAGCGUGGGGAGCAAACAGG